AGCAACCUGCUCGGGACCCCUCUCUGUGACUGUGAGCUGUUCUGUUCUUUUGCCUAUUAAACUCCUGCUCCAAACUCACUCGAUGUGUGUGUGCAUGUCCUUGACCUCAAUAUCUGGUCGUGUGACCAAGAACCUCAGUAUUCACCCCAGACAACAAGGCUGCUUCAUUUUGAGGGCUCGUCUGGGAUUUGAAGGUGACUUCAUCAGAAUGGAAAGUCUCUGGCUGACAAACAAUUGCCUCCUCAAAUACCAAGCUUUGCUGCUAAAGGGAUCUGCAGUCCAGCUGAAAACCUGCCCUUGCCUGAGCCCAGCCACUUUCUCCCAGAGAAAACUGGAGAACCUAAACAUGAUUGUGAACAGAAUGGCUUCCGGUGGCCUGGGACUCCUUGGGGAAACAGAAAAUGCACCACAAAUCCCAUUUUAGGAAAAAUCUGUUUUCCUCGGAGCCCCUGGAAUUAAAGGUGAAUAAAUACCUCUCAAAAUCGUCUUUGUCUUCUGGCUAUGCUUGCUUAUUAGGCCCUGGAAGCUGUAUUCCUAGCUCUGUUCUGAAAGAACCUCACUCAGAGGCCAAUAAUCCAAUUGGGACAUUGGCAAAUGCAAAAUCUUAUAACUGCUGGAUCUUCUUCUGUUUGUGUGGUUAUAUAUGUGUUACUUGUGUAAUGCCUAUUAAAAAAAGGAGCUCUAAUUAAUUGGCCUAAGAAAAAUAAGCGCUUAAAUCAAACAUUUUUAAGGGAAAAGUAAAAGCUGUGGUACCUUUCAGUUCAUGUGACUUUAAUCUUUAAAAAUAAAAAGAGUCUUAGGAAUUAUUGGUAAAAUACAAAUGUCUUCAAGGUAUAAAAAUGUGGUCUAAAUUAUGCAGGUCAAAUACUAGUUUGCUAAAUGUUUUAAGGUUGUAAACUGCUUUUUUUUUUUUGAGAUGGAGUCUUGCUCUGUCGCCAGACUGGAGUGCAGUAGUGCGAUCUUGGCCCACUGCAACCUCUGACUCCCUGGUUCAAGUGAUUCUCCUGUCUCAGCCUCCUGAGUAGCUGGGAUUACAGGCACGCGCCACCACAUCCAUCUAAUUUUUGCAUUUUUAGUAGAGACGGGGUUUCACCAUGUUGGCCAGGAUGGUCUCGAUCUCCUGACCUCGUGAUCCGCCCGCCUUGGCCUCCCAAAGUGCUGGGAUUACAGGCAGGAGCCAUUGCGACUGGCCAUAAAACUACUUCUUUAUUUAGCCUUUAAAAACUAUCAACGUGCCUGCUUCACAAUUGGUAGCACCUGGGAACAUACGGAAGCAACCAAGCCCCUAACUAUGCUGAAAGGAGUCAAACAUUAUCUGCAUCCAGCACAUAAUUAAAACAACCUAACAGGUUUUACAUUAAAGUUAAAAAUUACUAAAAGUUACCAUUAUAACAUGUGAUUGAAACUACUGAACAUGGAAUUACAUGGAAAGUGUGUAAAAACAGUAAAAGAUGUUUUUAUUUAAAGAUUAUAAGAGGGCAUGGAAAUGUAUAUUUUGCUUAGAAAUAAAGAAUUGUCUUAAAGUAGAAGGUUUAAGCAAAUUGUAAAAAAAAACUGUAAAAAUCUUGCAAAAAAAAACACUGCGUGUAAACAUAUUAACUAAAUGCAAAAGGGCAUUAUAUGGUUUUUUUCUGUAAAUUAAUCACUGAAAUAAAAGCACAGCAAGGUUUUCUUAAAAUGCUAAUCUACUCUUUAGCAAAACUUGUCAAGGGUUAUAACAGGUAUGUGAAAAUCUCACUUCAUGGUCAAACUGGUUAAAAUUAAAUAGGAUUGUCUAUAAUGUUUCAUUUAAAAUUAAGUUUAACAUUAAUAGCAAACUAAUGCAAGGGUAAAAUUUAACUUUCUCUCUUAACACGGGAUUUUCAUGGAAUAGAAAAGGCUAAUGAAUGGUUUUUGCUUUUUCAAAUUUCUGGCUCAACAUUUUGGCAAAAACAAAAACUUUUGGUAAUCUAAAAUUCUAUUUCAUAAUAUCAAGUGUUUUAAAUUUUAAAUAUACUUAACAGGCUUCCCAAAGUCAAACUUUAGUCUCAAGUCUGUCUUUCCUAACCCCUGGCUUUUGGGUGCUGCAGAGGACCCCUGAAGCAUCUAGAAGAGAGGUAAACAGUAUUAUUUAACAUGUUGAGGUACAUAAAAUUGCCAAAAUGAUGUCUAAUACUCUUCAGGUUAUACUUUAGGGAAUAAUAUUAACAUGUGUUCCAAAACUGUAUGGGAUGUCUAUGGUUCUAGUGUCUGAAUAUGUGCUAUUACAAUUAAGGUUGUUAUGCUGGGUUUUUGAAAAACACAAAAAUAACCAAAUUUCUUUGUCAAUUGUAUUUCUGACUGUAUCCAAACUGGACAUUUUGUCAUUUACAGACAAUUGUUGUUUUGUUUUAAUUCUCUUCAAAAGAUGGUUCAUAAUCAAGCCAUGGGACUUUAACAAGUUCUCUCCAAUGCAGGUUUGUCAUGACCAAAAAAUGUAUGGGACUCAUAAAAGGCUAAAAUGUUUAUAAAUAUCAAAACAAAAGUUAAUGGAAUGAACUGAACUAAUAGAAAACUAAAGCAAUAUUCUUCACUUAUUCUUAGAACACGGCUAAUCCUUAUUUUAUUUUUUAGAGUCAAAAAAACUUGUCUUAAGCUAGCUACAGCCUUUGAUAACUAAGCAAAGUGUACUACUAUAGGCAAAGUUUGGAGCAUGUUUAUGUCUCUCUGCCUAAUUCCUGUAGAAUUUGGAAACUAGUUAUAAAUAUUCUUAAAUUACAACAAUAUAGUUGUUUGAAUCAGUGCAGCAAGAAUCCAUUUUCUCUUGCAACAAAACACAAUUGGAAAAACUGGUUGUUUUACCAAGGCUUUGACUAGAAGGGUAUAUUUCCCUUUAAGGAAUCAAGCUUAACUUGCUGAGCCAAUAAAAGCCCCUGGGGAAAACUGGCCUCAUAUCUGUCUACACAGUCUCCAUACAGGGUUCCUGACCUGCAGUGAGUAAAGAAUGUCACUUUCUAACAGGCCUAGGAACCCCAUGCUUCUGGAACCUCAAGAAGGAAAAAAAUUUAUCCAACUCACAGGUAUUUAAAAGUACAAACCUAUGGCUGGGCUUGGCUUUAAAAAGUCCUAUCUAAAAUUCCUCAUGGAACAAGGUUCCAUCAAAGCCAAUCUAAGAGGCUUAUGUAAGGAUGAUUAUUCUUGCUGUACUUUAUGCAAAUAAUUAGGCCAAGUAUAGGACUGAAGUCUGUUUUGCAAACAACUCAGUCCUAUCAUAGAUUAUUUUUAACAAAAAUGAGGACUAGAGAAAGAGAAAUUAUGUUUUAAGACUUAUCAUACAUCUGUUAUUAACCUGUAGUCCCAUCAGUUGUUUUUAAGUUCUUGCCUACAUUUUAAACUAACCCUGCUUACUCCUGUCAACCAACCAGGAAUCUCUGGCUGCAGCUCAGAGAAAACAGAAAGGCAUCGGUAAUAGAAAAAUCUGGAAACAUGUUCUAGUUCUGGGCAAUUAUCCUACAAAUCCUGCCAGGUAAACUAGAACCCCAGGGUUUCUCCCUUUUUUGGGAAAGUAAGACCAAGGAAGCUAAACAAAGCCAAGCCCCAUAUACCCACUUACAGCAGCACAACCCAUCUGAAUGGCUCACAGGUAUCAAACAAACUCUGUUGUCAUGGUUACGGCCUAUAGUGCCCCCAUUAAUAAUAGUAAUCUUAAUACUCAUAUUUAGAACCUAUAUUCUAAACCUCCUUGUGAAGUUUAUCUCUUCUCGCUUAGAAACCAUCAAGCUUCAGAUGGUGCUGAAAAUGGAGCCGAAAAUGAAACUGCCCUCCUACGAGGGACCCUUAAAUCAACCCCAGGAGGAGCCCUAGCUGCUGUUCCCCACACAACGCCACUCUCCAGCAGGAAGUAGCCAGAAGAAAUCGUCACCCAGUUUCCCCUAGCAGCAGUUAUGGAUUUCAUUCCUGAGGGGGGAAAUAUGUUAUAGGAGGCAGAAAGAAAUGAUUUAGGCGCAGUAAGAUUGAGGAGCUAAAAACAGACUUGGGUGGAUGUCUGCAGCUGCAAGAAGAUGUGUGGGAACAGACACAGAAACUCUCCCUCCCAGAUAAGCAAGACAAAGAAACACAGAAUAAGAGUCCAUCUAUGUGGUCAGAGAAUGGGAUAAGAGCUGAUUUAAAAAAACUCUGCUCUAUAUAGAAGGCACACCUGGUCCCAACCAAACCACUGGACCCUAGGAGGAUAAGACCUCCUCUGCUCAUGAGCCCCCUCCUCAGUAGCCCAUUUAUAAAAACCCUGACAAUUUUACUACCACUUGGCAACCCGCUCGGGACCCCUCUCUGUGAUGGAGAGCUGUUCUUUUCUUUUGCCUAUUAAACUCCUGCUCCAAA
RNAcentral lists this long non-coding RNA (4338 nucleotides) under Homo sapiens (human). Its description in RNAcentral is "SMARCA4 interacting SWI/SNF chromatin remodeling complex scaffold lncRNA (SMANTIS)". The record is from RNAcentral. Lineage: Eukaryota; Metazoa; Chordata; Mammalia; Primates; Hominidae.